GGGCGAUUAGCUCAGCGGUAGAGCACCUGCCUUACAAGCAGAUUGUCGCUGGUUCGAUCCCGGCAUCGCCCA
RNAcentral lists this transfer RNA (72 nucleotides) under Synechococcus sp. WH 8101. Its description in RNAcentral is "tRNA-Val". It matches the Rfam family "tRNA". Rfam says of the family: Transfer RNA (tRNA) molecules are approximately 80 nucleotides in length. Their secondary structure includes four short double-helical elements and three loops (D, anti-codon, and T loops). The record is from RNAcentral. RNAcentral also lists the same sequence under 2 other names. Lineage: Bacteria; Bacillati; Cyanobacteriota; Cyanophyceae; Synechococcales; Synechococcaceae.